This 280-nucleotide ribosomal RNA is filed under the name Pseudo-nitzschia fraudulenta. RNAcentral's name for it is "partial Bacterial large subunit ribosomal RNA". It matches the Rfam family "Bacterial large subunit ribosomal RNA", at positions 664 to 941 of the family's 2925-position model. Lineage: Eukaryota; Bacillariophyta; Bacillariophyceae; Bacillariales; Bacillariaceae. The record is from RNAcentral.
AGCCGUAGGGAAACCGAGUCUGAAUAGGGCGAUUUAGUCGCUGGGCAUAGACCCGAAACCGGGCGAUCUAUCCAUGAGCAGGUUGAAGGUUGAGUAACAUCAACUGGAGGACCGAACCCACUGUCGUUGAAAAGCCAGGGGAUGACUUGUGGAUCGGAGUGAAAGGCUAAUCAAGCCCGGAGAUAGCUGGUUCUCCCCGAAAGCUAUUUAGGUAGCGCCUCGGACGAAUACCACAGGGGGUAGAGCACUGUUUCGGCUAGGGGGUCAUCCCGACUUACCA